GAUGAACGCUAGCGGCAGGCCUAAUACAUGCAAGUCGAACGGGAUCCAGAUCAAAGCUUGCUUUGGUCUGGUGAGAGUGGCGCACGGGUGCGUAACGCGUGAGCAACCUACCCUUGUCAGGGGGAUAGCCCGGCGAAAGUCGGAUUAAUACCGCAUGACAUCAUUGAGAGGCAUCUUUCGAUGAUCAAAGAUUUAUCGGACAAGGAUGGGCUCGCGUGACAUUAGCUAGUUGGUAAGGUAACGGCUUACCAAGGCUGCGAUGUCUAGGGGCUCUGAGAGGAGAAUCCCCCACACUGGUACUGAGACGCGGACCAGACUCCUACGGGAGGCAGCAGUAAGGAAUAUUGGUCAAUGGACGGAAGUCUGAACCAGCCAUGCCGCGUGCAGGAGGACGGCCCUAUGGGUUGUAAACUGCUUUUAUACGGGAACAAACGUCGGUACGUGUACCGGUCUGAGUGUACCGUAAGAAUAAGAAUCGGCUAACUCCGUG
RNAcentral lists this ribosomal RNA (490 nucleotides) under uncultured bacterium. RNAcentral's name for it is "partial 16S ribosomal RNA". It matches the Rfam family "Bacterial small subunit ribosomal RNA", at positions 28 to 507 of the family's 1533-position model. The record is from RNAcentral.